Molecule: long non-coding RNA, 914 nt
Filed under: Acanthaster planci (crown-of-thorns starfish)
Lineage: Eukaryota; Metazoa; Echinodermata; Asteroidea; Valvatida; Acanthasteridae
Description: uncharacterized LOC110989095, transcript variant X1
Source: RNAcentral
UGUGCAGAGGUCCACACUAUGUAUGCUUCGCCUGCACAACGCUAUCGCACCCUACAGCCCUCAGCCCUCCCCGGUCAAUGCACCUUCCCAUUUAAUUUCUUCGUCACAUUUUCUUUGUAUAUUUAGCCGGCCUUAUUCACGCAAUCUCUGAACCAUUUUUUGCCCAGAAUAUUUGAUAAUAUCGCCGUCUGGAUUUUUUUCUGUUGGGUUUGGCGUUGUUUCAGUACACUGCAACUGGCUACUGAGUCAGAUUUUUCGAGUUAGUAUGUGGUGUACACUUUGAUCUUUACUUGCCUUGAAAGUUCACUUCGCGGGGGUUUAUGGGUCAGAACCUUAAUGUUGCCCAAACAUGCCGCUGUAUUGCGUGCGCAUGCGUUGAAACAACGCCCAGCCGGACGGCGAUUAUGUUUUACUGCACAGCGGUUCGGGGAAUAUGCCAUGCACUAUCCUAUCGCAAUAUGCUUUUUAUUUCCACUCGAGUAGAGACUAGUCUUCGCGCUGGGUAUGUGUAGUGCUGUACGCAAAGCUUCCCUGCAUUUGAAAUGGUCGCUUUGGUGGUGGAUGCAUUCUCCACAGCCCCGAUUGUCACCUUUAGGCUUUAAUCAAGUCGCGUUUCCCUAAGCGUGCUGUCUAAAAAAAAACUGAGACCAGGCGACCUAGAAGUGACUGCGCACAGCCAUCUACUGUACAUGUACAUGUUAUGUUGGGCGUAGGUCGUGAUUCGUCACAGAAGUGCUGAGAACUGAGCGCUGUUGUAAAUUCAAGUUGCCGACACAUUGCCGACACGUAAAAAGGAAAAUCUGCGAGACUCAUACCCGUGACCGUAAUUAAUCGCGGAUUUUGGAUCAGCCAGCUUGGAUCAGCCAUGAACAUCAUUCACACCGUGAUCCUAUCUGCCGUGUUUCUCGGCGCGU